UUGAACGCUGGCGGCAGGCCUAACACCUGCAAGUCGAACGGUAACAGGAAGCAGCUUGCUGCUUUGCUGACGAGUGGCGGACGGGUGAGUAAUGUCUGGGAAACUGCCUGAUGGAGGGGGAUAACUACUGGAAACGGUAGCUAAUACCGCAUAACGUCGCAAGACCAAAGAGGGGGACCUUCGGGCCUCUUGCCAUCGGAUGUGCCCAGAUGGGAUUAGCUAGUAGGUGGGGUAACGGCUCACCUAGGCGACGAUCCCUAGCUGGUCUGAGAGGAUGACCAGCCACACUGGAACUGAGACACGGUCCAGACUCCUACGGGAGGCAGCAGUGGGGAAUAUUGCACAAUGGGCGCAAGCCUGAUGCAGCCAUGCCGCGUGUAUGAAGAAGGCCUUCGGGUUGUAAAGUACUUUCAGCGGGGAGGAAGGGAGUAAAGUUAAUACCUUUGCUCAUUGACGUUACCCGCAGAAGAAGCACCGGCUAACUCCGUG
This 489-nucleotide ribosomal RNA is filed under the name uncultured bacterium. RNAcentral's name for it is "partial 16S ribosomal RNA". It matches the Rfam family "Bacterial small subunit ribosomal RNA", at positions 30 to 507 of the family's 1533-position model. The record is from RNAcentral.